This 291-nucleotide long non-coding RNA is filed under the name Elaeis guineensis (African oil palm). RNAcentral describes it as "long non-coding RNA (EGUI_LNC076800)". The record is from RNAcentral. Lineage: Eukaryota; Viridiplantae; Streptophyta; Magnoliopsida; Arecales; Arecaceae.
UCUGAAGAAAUCAAGAUCAUUUCUCCCUUAUCGAUUAGGUCAUCUCAUAACCUAAUCAGACUUGACUUGAUUGAAUCAAAUUCAAUCAAACUUUAUCUAGACUUUAAUGCUUAAUUAAAUUGAACUAAUUAAUAAUCUAAUCACUAGUUAAUCUUCCAUUAAUGAUAGAGUCCAAGUAUAGUGGGACUCUUCUCUAGAGUCCCCAUCCAGUGGAACUCUUCAGUAGAGUCUUCAUCAAGUGGGACUCUUUACCAGAGUCUCCAUUGACUGGGACUCUUCAGAUUAGCCAAA